GACGAACGCUGGCGGCGUGCCUAAUACAUGCAAGUCGAGCGGACGAAUCGAAAGCUUGCUUUUGAUUCGUUAGCGGCGGACGGGUGAGUAACACGUGGGCAACCUGCCCUGUAGACGGGGAUAACACCGAGAAAUCGGUGCUAAUACCGGAUAACACGAAAUGUCGCAUGACGUUUCGUUGAAAGACGGCGCAAGCUGUCGCUACAGGAUGGGCCCGCGGCGCAUUAGCUAGUUGGUGAGGUAACGGCUCACCAAGGCGACGAUGCGUAGCCGACCUGAGAGGGUGAUCGGCCACACCGGGACUGAGACACGGCCCAGACUCCUACGGGAGGCAGCAGUAGGGAAUCUUCCGCAAUGGACGAAAGUCUGACGGAGCAACGCAGCGUGAGCGAAGAAGGCCUUCGGGUCGUAAAGCUCUGUUGUUAGGGAAGAACAAGUAACGCAGUAACUGGCGUUACCGUGACGGUACCUAACGAGAAAGCCACGGCUAACUACGUG
RNAcentral lists this ribosomal RNA (498 nucleotides) under uncultured bacterium. Its description in RNAcentral is "partial 16S ribosomal RNA". It matches the Rfam family "Bacterial small subunit ribosomal RNA", at positions 28 to 507 of the family's 1533-position model. The record is from RNAcentral.